GAUGAACGCUGGCGGCGUGCCUAAUACAUGCAAGUCGAGCGAACGGACGAGAAGCUUGCUUUUCUGAGGUUAGCGGCGGACGGGUGAGUAACACGUGGAUAACCUACCUAUAAGACUGGGAUAACUUCGGGGAACCGGAGCUAAUACCGGAUAAUAUUUUGAACCGCAUGGUUCAAAAGUGAAAGACGGUCUUGCUGUCACUUAUAGAUGGAUCCGCGCUGCAUUAGCUAGUUGGUAAGGUAACGGCUUACCAAGGCAACGAUGCAUAGCCGACCUGAGAGGGUGAUCGGCCACACUGGAACUGAGACACGGUCCAGACUCCUACGGGAGGCAGCAGUAGGGAAUCUUCCGCAAUGGGCGAAAGCCUGACGGAGCAACGCCGCGUGAGUGAUGAAGGUCUUCGGAUCGUAAAACUCUGUUAUUAGGGAAGAACAGAUGUGUAAGUAACUGUGCACAUCUUGACGGUACCUAAUCAGAAAGCCACGGCUAACUACGUG
RNAcentral lists this ribosomal RNA (497 nucleotides) under uncultured bacterium. RNAcentral describes it as "partial 16S ribosomal RNA". It matches the Rfam family "Bacterial small subunit ribosomal RNA", at positions 28 to 507 of the family's 1533-position model. The record is from RNAcentral.